AUUGAACGCUGGCGGCAGGCCUAACACAUGCAAGUCGAACGGUAACAGGAAGCAGCUUGCUGCUUUGCUGACGAGUGGCGGACGGGUGAGUAAUGUCUGGGAAACUGCCCGAUGGAGGGGGAUAACUACUGGAAACGGUAGCUAAUACCGCAUAACGUCGCAAGACCAAAGAGGGGGACCUUAGGGCCUCUUGCCAUCGGAUGUGCCCAGAUGGGAUUAGCUAGUAGGUGGGGUAACGGCUUACCUAGGCGACGAUCCCUAGCUGGUCUGAGAGGAUGACCAGCCACACUGGAACUGAGACACGGUCCAGACUCCUACGGGAGGCAGCAGUGGGGAAUAUUGCACAAUGGGCGCAAGCCUGAUGCAGCCAUGCCGCGUGUAUGAAGAAGGCCUUCGGGUUGUAAAGUACUUUCAGCGGGGAGGAAGGGAGUAAAGUUAAUACCUUUGCUCAUUGACGUUACCCGCAGAAGAAGCACCGGCUAACUCCGUG
This 490-nucleotide ribosomal RNA is filed under the name uncultured bacterium. Its description in RNAcentral is "partial 16S ribosomal RNA". It matches the Rfam family "Bacterial small subunit ribosomal RNA", at positions 30 to 507 of the family's 1533-position model. The record is from RNAcentral.